CUGAGCAAAAGUUCUCCUCAGGUAGUAGGUCUUCAAAGCUGCUAUAACUCCUUAUCCAUUGGUUGGAUCAAAGAGGUUGUGUUUGGAGGCAGAAACUCCACAUUGAUGUUGGGAUGAAGAUCAUUCAUAAAAGGACGAUGUGCCAGAGCAUUGUCAACAGUAUUUGUUUCCAGAAUAGAAAGGUUUCAUCCACAAUGAAGAUUUUCUCUGAUCGUGGCUGUGGUGGAGUGGGGCAUGCCUGACUGAAAGAAAACUCCUGAGUUCUCAGACCUACCUAUCUCAGAUGCUGUUUCAUCUCAUUGAGUGGAACAGUACCCAGUAGACAGCCGGAUAAGCACUACGAAAACUUCUGAUUGAUAAUGGAAUUGGCUCUGCAAUAGUCAGACAAUGACCUGAAUUUCUGAGAUUCCCAAAAUAUUUUUCUGGGAACAACAUCGCAGCUCUUUGUUCAAAACACCAGGAACCUGGACAACUCAUAGCCAAGACCCUCCACAAGUAACAAUGUGUCCAGAAUUGGUGAGUUCUUGGCCUCACUGACUUCAAAAAUGAAGCCUCGGACCCACGUGGUAUGGAGUAACCCAUUACUCCUGGAGCAGCUGCAUACAUGAGGUUCAGGGGGUGAUUCAGCAUGGUCGACUCAUGGAGUGGCAUCUGGGCUGUCUGCUGUCCGGUUGCUCUGGCUGGGUGAGUGAGAGUUCAUAUGAUUCUCAGGGGCGUGUUAAGCUCAUGAACAUUUGAUUGCAGUAAUUACCUGGGAACCCCCCUGACUAAUUUGCACACCAACAUAGAGUGAGGGAGACCUUAUUUCUAGGGAGUGAUAAAUGGCAACUACUUAAUCGUUUGGAGAAAAGGUGGUGUAGUUUCCAUUUGGCCUGGUUCCCAGUCUGUAUAAUCAUCAGUGCAUUCCAAAACAGCAUCAGUAAUAACAUUCUGUAGAUAGCUAGACCCCACUCCAUUGAUAUUUCUUAUAGGCAUUAUUUCUUAUGUAUAUUCUCAGGGGAAGGCUAGUAUAGUAUUCCUAAUCUAUUUUUCCCGUUAUAGAAAAUUAGAUAUAUGAAAGCAAUGGGAAAUGUUCAAAGUCAC
This 1083-nucleotide long non-coding RNA is filed under the name Homo sapiens (human). Its description in RNAcentral is "HSALNT0183131". Lineage: Eukaryota; Metazoa; Chordata; Mammalia; Primates; Hominidae. The record is from RNAcentral.